RNAcentral lists this ribosomal RNA (468 nucleotides) under uncultured bacterium. RNAcentral describes it as "partial 16S ribosomal RNA". It matches the Rfam family "Bacterial small subunit ribosomal RNA", at positions 28 to 507 of the family's 1533-position model. The record is from RNAcentral.
GACGAACGCUGGCGGCGUGCUUAACACAUGCAAGUCGAACGGAAAGGUCCUGCUUUUGUGCGGUGCUCGAGUGGCGAACGGGUGAGUAACACGUGAGUAACCUGUCCUUGACUUUGGGAUAACUUCAUGAAACUGGGGCUAAUACCGGAUAGGAGCUCCUGCUGCAUGGUGGGGGUUGGAAAGUUUAGGCGGUUGGGGAUGGACUCGCGGCUUAUCAGCUUGUUGGUGGGGUAGUGGCUUACCAAGGCUUUGACGGGUAGCCGGCCUGGGAGGGUGAGCGGCCACAUUGGGACUGGGCUGCGGCCCAGACUCCUACGGGAGGCAGCAGUGGGGAAUAUUGCACAGUGGGCGGGAGCCUGAUGCAGCAACGCCGCGUGCGGGAUGACGGCCUUCGGGUUGUAAUCCGCUUUCGCCUGUGACGAGGCGUGAGUGACGGUAAUGGGUAAAGAAGCACCGGCUAACUACGUG